This 233-nucleotide long non-coding RNA is filed under the name Solanum tuberosum (potato). RNAcentral describes it as "long non-coding RNA (STUB_LNC011716)". The record is from RNAcentral. Lineage: Eukaryota; Viridiplantae; Streptophyta; Magnoliopsida; Solanales; Solanaceae.
UCGAUACGGUUAUACGGGCCUACUACCCCCCGUACUAGGCAACCAAGGUACCAACCCCUCGAUACGGUUAUACGGGCCUACUACCCCCCGUACUAGGCUUGGUCGACUCACAACACUUAUAUAGAGAAAAUCAUAUACAUGUGUCCAUUUCAUCAUCAUUUCAAUAAUUAUAUAACCAUUCGAUUCAUAGGACGUACAUUGGACCUUCCAUUUCAUAAGAAUUCUAUAAAUGG